This 253-nucleotide unclassified non-coding RNA is filed under the name uncultured Paracoccaceae bacterium. RNAcentral describes it as "uncultured Rhodobacteraceae bacterium contains 16S-23S intergenic spacer region". It matches the Rfam family "Bacterial small subunit ribosomal RNA", at positions 524 to 776 of the family's 1533-position model. Lineage: Bacteria; Pseudomonadati; Pseudomonadota; Alphaproteobacteria; Rhodobacterales; Paracoccaceae. The record is from RNAcentral.
UACGGAGGGGGUUAGCGUUGUUCGGAAUUACUGGGCGGAAAGCGUACGUAGGCGGAUUAGAAAGUUGGGGGUGAAAUCCCAGGGCUCAACCCUGGAACUGCCUCCAAAACUACUAGUCUAGAGUUCAAGAGAGGUGAGUGGAAUUCCAAGUGUAGAGGUGAAAUUCGUAGAUAUUCGGAGGAACACCAGUGGCGAAGGCGGCUCACUGGCUCGAUACUGACGCUGAGGUGCGAAAGUGUGGGGAGCAAACAGG